RNAcentral lists this transfer RNA (72 nucleotides) under Camelus bactrianus (Bactrian camel). It matches the Rfam family "tRNA". From Rfam's summary of the family: Transfer RNA (tRNA) molecules are approximately 80 nucleotides in length. Their secondary structure includes four short double-helical elements and three loops (D, anti-codon, and T loops). Further hydrogen bonds mediate the characteristic L-shaped molecular structure. tRNAs have two regions of fundamental functional importance: the anti-codon, which is responsible for specific mRNA codon recognition, and the 3' end, to which the tRNAs corresponding amino acid is attached (by aminoacyl-tRNA synthetases). tRNAs cope with the degeneracy of the genetic code in two manners: having more than one tRNA (with a specific anti-codon) for a particular amino acid; and 'wobble' base-pairing, i.e. permitting non-standard base-pairing at the 3rd anti-codon position. RNAcentral also lists the same sequence under 2 other names. Lineage: Eukaryota; Metazoa; Chordata; Mammalia; Artiodactyla; Camelidae. The record is from Rfam by way of RNAcentral.
AGGUAUAUAGUUCAGUGGUAGAGCAUGUGCUUGGUGUGCACGAGGUCCUAGGUUCAAUCUCCAGUGUCUCUG